Molecule: ribosomal RNA, 253 nt
Filed under: uncultured bacterium
Lineage: Bacteria
Description: partial 16S ribosomal RNA
Rfam family: Bacterial small subunit ribosomal RNA
Source: RNAcentral
UACGGGGGGGGCAAGCGUUGUUCGGAAUUACUGGGCGUAAAGCGCGUGUAGGCGGCCCGGUAAGUCCGCUGUGAAAGUCCAGGGCUCAACCCUGGGAUGCCGGUGGAUACUGUCGGGCUCGAGUCCGGAAGAGGCGAGUGGAAUUCCUGGUGUAGCGGUGAAAUGCGCAGAUAUCAGGAGGAACACCAACGGCGAAGGCAGCUCUCUGGGACGUUACUGACGCUGAGACGCGAAAGCGUGGGGAGCAAACAGG